RNAcentral lists this ribosomal RNA (253 nucleotides) under uncultured bacterium. RNAcentral describes it as "partial 16S ribosomal RNA". It matches the Rfam family "Bacterial small subunit ribosomal RNA", at positions 524 to 776 of the family's 1533-position model. The record is from RNAcentral.
UACGUAGGGUGCAAGCGUUAAUCGGAAUUACUGGGCGUAAAGCGUGCGCAGGCGGUGAUGUAAGACAGGUGUGAAAUCCCCGGGCUCAACUUGGGAACUGCAUUUGUGACUGCAUCGCUGGAGUGCGGCAGAGGGGGAUGGAAUUCCGCGUGUAGCAGUGAAAUGCGUAGAUAUGCGGAGGAACACCGAUGGCGAAGGCAAUCCCCUGGGCCUGCACUGACGCUCAUGCACGAAAGCGUGGGGAGCAAACAGG